This 382-nucleotide unclassified non-coding RNA is filed under the name Hevea brasiliensis (rubber tree). The record is from RNAcentral. Lineage: Eukaryota; Viridiplantae; Streptophyta; Magnoliopsida; Malpighiales; Euphorbiaceae.
AAAGGCUUGGUCUGAUAACAGGUGGAUGUGUGGGCAGGAUUGGUUAGAGAAUGGGAAUUGGGUUGGUGGCUCAUUUGUUAGCAAGUCAGAUUCUUGGAGCAAGACUGGCGGUGGAUUCCUUGGGGUGGAUCACUGUAUAGCAGAGAAGUCAUAUUCUCGUGUUUUUGCUUUUGCCUGCAAGGCACUGACUGCUUUUUUCUUAAGCAUCAGGUGGCUAUGUAGUAAGGUUUUUAGGUUAAGUUCCUCUAGAAGUGAUGCAUCAAUGGACGCAGAACGAAGAGCAAUGAUGGAUAAAAGAGGUGAGAAUGGAGGAAAUUGUCAGGAGAGUAGAGGUGAGAAAGCUAGGAGAAAAGCUGAGGAAAAGAGGCUGGCUAGGUUGGAG